This 124-nucleotide small RNA is filed under the name Pan troglodytes (chimpanzee). RNAcentral describes it as "processed transcript". Lineage: Eukaryota; Metazoa; Chordata; Mammalia; Primates; Hominidae. The record is from RNAcentral.
AGAGGAAAAACGGCCAACAGCAGCCCCGCGGCCGGCCCGGCAGCGCCCGGCCCCCGGCUCAGCCCCCGGAGUGCGGAGCCGACCAGAGGGUAACGCUUCUUACAGGGGACGCUGUCUCAGCAGC